UAAUACGGAGGUUGCAAGCGUUGUUCGGAAUUACUGGGCGUAAAGGGGGCGCAGGCGGCUUGACCAGUCUGAAGUGAAAGCCCGGGGCUCAACUCCGGAAUGUCUUUGGAUACUGUCAAGCUUGAGUACGUGAGAGGAGAGUGGAAUUCCAGGUGUAGCGGUGAAAUGCGUAGAUAUCUGGAGGAACACCCGUGGCGAAAGCGGCUCUCUGGCACGUUACUGACGCUCAGGCCCGAAAGCGUGGGGAGCAAACGGG
RNAcentral lists this ribosomal RNA (256 nucleotides) under uncultured bacterium. RNAcentral's name for it is "partial 16S ribosomal RNA". It matches the Rfam family "Bacterial small subunit ribosomal RNA", at positions 521 to 776 of the family's 1533-position model. The record is from RNAcentral.